RNAcentral lists this ribosomal RNA (497 nucleotides) under uncultured bacterium. RNAcentral's name for it is "partial 16S ribosomal RNA". It matches the Rfam family "Bacterial small subunit ribosomal RNA", at positions 28 to 507 of the family's 1533-position model. The record is from RNAcentral.
GAUGAACGCUGGCGGCGUGCCUAAUACAUGCAAGUCGAGCGAACGGACGAGAAGCUUGCUUUUCUGAUGUUAGCGGCGGACGGGUGAGUAACACGUGGAUAACCUACCUAUAAGACUGGGAUAACUUCGGGAAACCGGAGCUAAUACCGGAUAAUAUUUUGAACCGCAUGGUUCAAAAGUGAAAGACGGUCUUGCUGUCACUUAUAGAUGGAUCCGCGCUGCAUUAGCUAGUUGGUAAGGUAACGGCUUACCAAGGCAACGAUGCAUAGCCGACCUGAGAGGGUGAUCGGCCACACUGGAACUGAGACACGGUCCAGACUCCUACGGGAGGCAGCAGUAGGGAAUCUUCCGCAAUGGGCGAAAGCCUGACGGAGCAACGCCGCGUGAGUGAUGAAGGUCUUCGGAUCGUAAAACUCUGUUAUUAGGGAAGAACAUAUGUGUAAGUAACUGUGCACAUCUUGACGGUACCUAAUCAGAAAGCCACGGGUAACUACGUG